UGCCUCCCAGUGCUUACCACAGGCUGUGUUCUUACACGGAUUAUAUAAAAAGAACGCAAAGUAAAUCUACCCCAUAUACACCUCAGCCCAGGCCCUAUGCCUGCUAUGUACUGUGAACGGGAAGACAUGG
This 130-nucleotide small nucleolar RNA is filed under the name Castor canadensis (American beaver). RNAcentral's name for it is "Small nucleolar RNA SNORA51 (ENSCCNG00000017109.1)". It matches the Rfam family "Small nucleolar RNA SNORA51". Rfam says of the family: ACA51 is a member of the H/ACA class of snoRNA that guide the sites of modification of uridines to pseudouridines. The record is from Rfam by way of RNAcentral. Lineage: Eukaryota; Metazoa; Chordata; Mammalia; Rodentia; Castoridae.